UACGUAGGGGGCAAGCGUUAUCCGGAAUUACUGGGUGUAAAGGGAGCGUAGACGGUAAUGUAAGUCUGGAGUGAAAGGCGGGGGCCCAACCCCCGGACUGCUCUGGAAACUAUGUUACUAGAGUGCAGGAGAGGUAAGCGGAAUUCCUAGUGUAGCGGUGAAAUGCGUAGAUAUUGGGAGGAACACCAGUGGCGAAGGCGGCUUACUGGACUGUAACUGACGUUGAGGCUCGAAAGCGUGGGGAGCAAGCAGG
Molecule: ribosomal RNA, 253 nt
Filed under: uncultured bacterium
Lineage: Bacteria
Description: partial 16S ribosomal RNA
Rfam family: Bacterial small subunit ribosomal RNA
Source: RNAcentral